GGUUUAUUCACCUCAACAGCUGUUUAAAUUCAGUGUCUAUGGAUUCAGGUGGAUAUACAGUCACAGAAUAAUUUCAGGUAUAAGGUUUGACAAAUUGCACCUGGUUGCUGCUGACAGGCAGUGGGACUAAGGCCCUAUUAAAACAUAUUAUAUGAAUGUGUCAUCUUGGAUUGUCUUCGUAUUUUAUUCUCUACUAAGGUAU
RNAcentral lists this long non-coding RNA (202 nucleotides) under Numida meleagris (helmeted guineafowl). Its description in RNAcentral is "lncRNA (ENSNMEG00000006701.1)". The record is from RNAcentral. Lineage: Eukaryota; Metazoa; Chordata; Aves; Galliformes; Numididae.